GAAAGCAUCAAACUAGAUACCCUUGUUUAUGGAAAAUGUGAAAAAGGUCACACUCUUCCCAGAUGUUGCCGAACAUUUUUAUUAAGCCGACCAACAGUGCAUUGCCCUCGCUGCAAAGUUUUUGUCCACUCUGCAGCUACUUCACUGUUAGGAGGGAGUCCAACCUGCACCUACUGUGACGGCUUGAUGGCAGAUGAAAUUGGAAGCAGGAAGAGAUCGAGAAAAUAGCAUGAGGAAGGUGUCAUCUGGAGCAGAGGCAGCUCUUUGUUUCGUUCUUUCUUUCUUUUUUGUUUAUUCUUACUUUCUUUCUUUUUUGUUCAUUCUUUCUUGCUUGCUUUUUUUGAUCAUUCUUUCUUGCUUUCUUUUUUUUAUCAUUCUUUCUUGUUUUCUUUUUUGUUCAUUCUUUCUUUUUUUCUCUCCCUUUUUUU
Long non-coding RNA from Penaeus monodon (black tiger shrimp), 428 nucleotides. RefSeq lists it as uncharacterized. NCBI's taxonomy places the organism in Eukaryota, Metazoa, Arthropoda, Malacostraca, Decapoda, Penaeidae. The record is from RefSeq and is a predicted model, not a curated record. The transcript has 3 exons.